UAGGGAAUCUUCCGCAAUGGACGAAAGUCUGACGGAGCAACGCCGCGUGAGUGAAGAAGGAUUUCGGUUCGUAAAACUCUGUUGUUAGAGAAGAACAGCGCAUAGAGUAACUGUUAUGCGUGUGACGGUAUCUAACCAGAAAGCCACGGCUAACUACGUGCCAGCAGCCGCGGUAAUACGUAGGUGUCAAGCGUUGUCCGGAUUUAUUGGGCGUAAAGCGAGCGCAGGCGGUAAAUUAAGUCUGAUGUGAAAGCCCCCGGCUCAACCGGGGAGGGUCAUUGGAAACUGGUUGACUUGAGGGCAGAAGAGGAGAGUGGAAUUCCAGGUGUAGAGGUGAAAUGCGUAGAUAGAUGGAGGAAAACCAGUGGCGAAGGCGACUCUCUGGUCUGUAACUAACGCUGAGGCUCGAAAGCGUGGGUAGCAAACAGG
Molecule: ribosomal RNA, 429 nt
Filed under: Bacteroidota bacterium
Lineage: Bacteria; Pseudomonadati; Bacteroidota
Description: Bacteroidetes bacterium partial 16S ribosomal RNA
Rfam family: Bacterial small subunit ribosomal RNA
Source: RNAcentral